RNAcentral lists this ribosomal RNA (690 nucleotides) under uncultured Carnobacterium sp. RNAcentral's name for it is "bacterial SSU rRNA". It matches the Rfam family "Bacterial small subunit ribosomal RNA", at positions 78 to 754 of the family's 1533-position model. Lineage: Bacteria; Bacillati; Bacillota; Bacilli; Lactobacillales; Carnobacteriaceae. The record is from RNAcentral.
GCUCUUUAACCGAGUGAGUGGCGGACGGGUGAGUAACACGUGGGUAACCUGCCCAUUAGAGGGGGAUAACAUUCGGAAACGGAUGCUAAUACCGCAUAGUUUCAGGGAUCGCAUGAUUCUUGAAGGAAAGGUGGCUUCGGCUACCACUAAUGGAUGGACCCGCGGCGUAUUAGCUAGUUGGUGAGGUAAUGGCUCACCAAGGCAAUGAUACGUAGCCGACCUGAGAGGGUGAUCGGCCACACUGGGACUGAGACACGGCCCAGACUCCUACGGGAGGCAGCAGUAGGGAAUCUUCCGCAAUGGACGAAAGUCUGACGGAGCAACGCCGCGUGAGUGAAGAAGGUUUUCGGAUCGUAAAACUCUGUUGUUAAAGAAGAACAAGGAUGAGAGUAACUGCUCAUCCCCUGACGGUAUUUAACCAGAAAGCCACGGCUAACUACGUGCCAGCAGCCGCGGUAAUACGUAGGUGGCAAGCGUUGUCCGGAUUUAUUGGGCGUAAAGCGAGCGCAGGCGGUUCUUUAAGUCUGAUGUGAAAGCCCCCGGCUCAACCGGGGAGGGUCAUUGGAAACUGGAGAACUUGAGUGCAGAAGAGGAGAGUGGAAUUCCACGUGUAGCGGUGAAAUGCGUAGAUAUGUGGAGGAACACCAGUGGCGAAGGCGACUCUCUGGUCUGUAACUGACGCUGAGGCUC